Long non-coding RNA from Cyprinus carpio (common carp), 838 nucleotides. NCBI's taxonomy places the organism in Eukaryota, Metazoa, Chordata, Actinopteri, Cypriniformes, Cyprinidae. The record is from Ensembl.
UAAGUUUUCUGUUCAUCUCGACAGUUUUGGGGAAAAAUGUACAUAUAUUUCAGAUAUUUGGCCGAUGCCCUCAUCUUGAAGGCCCACCGGAGCCUCUUUAAUUAGGUGUCGCGUCCACUCUGAGUGAAGCUAUGUCACCUUUUUAUUCAAAACUACAUGUCCUUUCAUCUGGAAACUACAGUGUAAAAUUAAAACACUAGGAAACACACAGAAAUGAAAUGUUUUAUCUCUGGAAAGUUGCUGGUUAUCACCAGAGCAGUCAUGUAGUGAUUAUUUUUUACCAACAGAGGUAAAGCUACACUGCUACACUACUUCAGCCACGAAGAACUGAACAUGGAAGAGAGCGGAACAUUAUUAUCAUCAGUUAUCAAACAACACCAUUGUCGGUUUCAAGAUGGUCUUGGAGAUUGCAGUAAAGUUGCAUUAAAACCCUGACAUCCUCCUCCAUUGCCAUACAAAGUGGGUUGGAACAAAUUUCAUUCUGCAUUUGGAGGAGGAGGCGGAGCAACAAAGGCAAUACCCUCAUGUCCCGCAGUUUUGGGAUAAAAUCCAUCCAUUAUUGUGGGAGAAAUGGCACUGAAGCAAGACCCACUUUUUACAAGCAGUAGAUACAUGGUUUAGAUUAUUUCACAUUUUGAACAUUGCAUAUCCCAAGCCUGUUUCAGCUGUAAUUACAUUGUCUGUACUAGCUUUGUUCUGUUUGUUUGUUUAUUUGUGAAUUUUGUAAACUAAAACAAUUGUAAGCAAUCUAAUAUGAUAAGGAAGUGAUUAAUAAGACAAUUUCAACUAGUUAUUUAAUUUAAUGGAGGUUUUUGCAACUUUAAAUGUAAAAGAAAUG